GACAGAGGGUGCAAACGUUGUUCGGAAUUACUGGGCGUAAAGCGCGUGUAGGCGGCUCUGUAAGUCGGGUGUGAAAUCCCACGGCUCAACCGUGGAAGUGCACUCGAAACUACAGGGCUAGAGUCCUGGAGAGGAAGGUGGAAUGCUUGGUGUAGAGGUGAAAUUCGUAGAUAUCAAGCGGAACACCGGUGACGAAGGCGGCCUUCUGGACAGUGACUGACGCUGAGACGCGAAAGCGUGGGGAGCAAACAGG
RNAcentral lists this ribosomal RNA (253 nucleotides) under uncultured bacterium. RNAcentral describes it as "partial 16S ribosomal RNA". It matches the Rfam family "Bacterial small subunit ribosomal RNA", at positions 524 to 776 of the family's 1533-position model. The record is from RNAcentral.